Bufo gargarizans (Asiatic toad) is the source of this 453-nucleotide long non-coding RNA. RefSeq lists it as uncharacterized. NCBI's taxonomy places the organism in Eukaryota, Metazoa, Chordata, Amphibia, Anura, Bufonidae. The record is from RefSeq and is a predicted model, not a curated record. The transcript is spliced from 5 exons.
AGGUGAAUCCAGAACUUAUUCCACAGUUUGAAGAAAAAGGUCUAAAGUUUGUUGGACAUGACACUGAGGGACAGAGGAUGGAGAUCAUUGAGCUUGAAGAUCAUCCAUACUUUGUUGGCGUGCAGUUUCAUCCAGAAUUCUCAUCCAGACCUAUGAAACCUUCUCCUCCUUAUCUUGGGCUAAUGUUGGCUGCCUCUGGAAAGCUAUCUACAUACAUACAGAAUGGCGGCAAGCUAUCUCCCAGAAAGGAUAGCUACAGCGAUGCCAGUGAGGGAAGCUCUUCAGAUAAUUAACUGCAUCCAGUAAAUCAUGUUAAAUAUCAGAUGAAAAGGUCUCUGGAGAUGGAAAAGAAACAGAAUCAUUCGCCAGAACUGAACCUCAGCAGAAAAUACCUUUCCCCAAUUUAAAGGAAAAAGUCUAAGGAAGGCAUCAAAGUAUUGAAAAUCCAAAUAU